This 497-nucleotide ribosomal RNA is filed under the name uncultured bacterium. RNAcentral's name for it is "partial 16S ribosomal RNA". It matches the Rfam family "Bacterial small subunit ribosomal RNA", at positions 28 to 507 of the family's 1533-position model. The record is from RNAcentral.
GACGAACGCUGGCGGCGUGCCUAAUACAUGCCAGUUGAGCGCUGAAGGUUGGUACUUGUACCAACUGGAUGAGCAGCGAACGGGUGAGUAACGCGUGGGGAAUCUGCCUUUGAGCGGGGGACAACAUUUGGAAACGAAUGCUAAUACCGCAUAAAAACUUUAAACACAAGUUUUAAGUUUGAAAGAUGCACUUGCAUCACUCAAAGAUGAUCCCGCGUUGUAUUAGCUAGUUGGUGAGGUAAAGGCUCACCAAGGCGAUGAUACAUAGCCGACCUGAGAGGGUGAUCGGCCACAUUGGGACUGAGACACGGCCCAAACUCCUACGGGAGGCAGCAGUAGGGAAUCUUCGGCAAUGGACGAAAGUCUGACCGAGCAACGCCGCGUGAGUGAAGAAGGGUUUCGGAUCGUAAAACUCUGUUGGUAGAGAAGAACGUUGGUGAGAGUGGAAAGCUCAUCAAGUGACGGUAACUACCCAGAAAGGGACGGCUAACUACGUG